ACCACUUUAAUUUGAUGGGGUGAGUAAGCAUUAAGUAUAUUUAAAUAUGGAUUUUAUUUUGAUAAGUUUCCAGUUUAAAAUUUUAAACAAUAUGUGCAAAUAUAAUUUAGAUAGUUUAAUAAUUUAGGUAAAAUAGGUGCCAGCAACCGCGGUCAUACCUAAUAAACAAGUUUAUUAAAGUAGUAAGUACAAUUUCAUUUCGAUAUUAGUUAAUAAGUAGUGAAAUACUAAUAAUUUUAUUACACCUACAAAAUGAAUAACAAUUAAAUCCAUAAGUAAAACUAGGAUUAGAGACCCUAUUAUUAUGGAAUCUGACAACUACUUACUAAGGAGUAAUAAUAUAAUUUAAAACUUAAAUGUUAUGGCGGCUAACUAAAACAAUUAGGGGAACUUACCAUAUAAUUGAUAGCCACCAAGCUUAAUCUAACUUACUAUAAUAAUUUGUAUACCGUUGUCCUUAUAAACUUCUCAAAGGGGUUUAUAGCCAUAUACUAUUUAAUGACAAAUCAAGGUGCAGUUGAUUAGUAAGAAUUAAGGUGAGUUACAAUAACUUUUUAUUUCGGAGUGAACUAUGAAAUAAUUCAGGAAGAUGGACUUAAAAGUACUUUAUAAAUUUAAACAUUUUAGAAGAAUAUUUAUUUAUUUAGUGUA
RNAcentral lists this ribosomal RNA (651 nucleotides) under Isabellaria leucoraphe. RNAcentral describes it as "partial 12S ribosomal RNA". The record is from RNAcentral. Lineage: Eukaryota; Metazoa; Mollusca; Gastropoda; Stylommatophora; Clausiliidae.